This is a long non-coding RNA of Neltuma alba, 121 nucleotides long. RefSeq lists it as uncharacterized. The transcript has 3 exons. NCBI's taxonomy places the organism in Eukaryota, Viridiplantae, Streptophyta, Magnoliopsida, Fabales, Fabaceae. The record is from RefSeq and is a predicted model, not a curated record.
CGGAGGACAAUCUAUUCUGGACUUUUCUCUUGCAUACAAUCUCAAGAUUGUUAACACUUAUUUUAAGAAGUAAGAGGAGCAUUUAAUCACAUAUAAAAUUAGUGCAAAGUUCUUUGUCAAA